This 535-nucleotide ribosomal RNA is filed under the name uncultured bacterium. RNAcentral's name for it is "bacterial SSU rRNA". It matches the Rfam family "Bacterial small subunit ribosomal RNA", at positions 28 to 561 of the family's 1533-position model. The record is from RNAcentral.
AUUGAACGCUGGCGGCAGGCCUAACACAUGCAAGUCGAGCGAGAAAGGUAGCAAUACCGAGUACAGCGGCGGACGGGUGAGGAACACGUAGGAAUCUACCUGGUAGUGGGGACAACGCGGGGAAACUCGCGCUAAUACCGCAUACGCCCUAAGGGGGUAAAGUGGGGGCACCGCAAGGCCUCACGCUAUCAGAAGAGCCUGCGUAGGAUUAGCUAGUUGGUAGGGUAAAGGCUUACCAAGGCGACGAUCCUUAGCUGGUCUGAGAGGAUGAUCAGCCACACCGGAACUGAGACACGGUCCGGGCUCCUACGGGAGGCAGCAGUGGGAAUCUUGCACAAUGGGCGAAAGCCUGAUGCAGCCAUGCCGCGUGUGUGAAGAAGGCCUCGGGUUGUAAAGCACUUUAAGCGGGGAGAAAAGGGUUGGUCGUUAACACCGGCUAUCUGUGAUGUUACCCGCAGAAUAAGCACCGGCAAACUUCGUGCCAGCAGCCGCGGUAAUACGAAGGGUGCGAGCGUUAAUCGGAAUUACUGGGCGU